GACGAACGCUGGCGGCGUGCUUAACACAUGCAAGUCGAACGAAGAGCGAUGGAAGCUUGCUUCUCUCAAUCUUAGUGGCGAACGGGUGAGUAACGCGUAAUCAACCUGCCCUUCAGAGGGGGACAACAGUUGGAAACGACUGCUAAUACCGCAUACGAUCUGACCUCGGCAUCGAGGAUAGAUGAAAGGUGGCCUCUACAUGUAAGCUAUCACUGAAGGAGGGGAUUGCGUCUGAUUAGCUAGUUGGAGGGGUAACGGCCCACCAAGGCGAUGAUCAGUAGCCGGUCUGAGAGGAUGAACGGCCACAUUGGGACUGAGACACGGCCCAGACUCCUACGGGAGGCAGCAGUGGGGAAUCUUCCGCAAUGGACGAAAGUCUGACGGAGCAACGCCGCGUGAGUGAUGACGGCCUUCGGGUUGUAAAGCUCUGUUAAUCGGGACGAAAGGCCUUUUUGCGAAUAGUGAGAAGGAUUGACGGUACCGGAAGAGAAAGCCACGGCUAACUACGUG
This 510-nucleotide ribosomal RNA is filed under the name uncultured bacterium. RNAcentral describes it as "partial 16S ribosomal RNA". It matches the Rfam family "Bacterial small subunit ribosomal RNA", at positions 28 to 507 of the family's 1533-position model. The record is from RNAcentral.